GGAACGUAUCAUAUGGAAAAAGCAUUGGAAAUAUCUCCUGAAUGUUGCCAACUAUGUCGCAGAAAAGUUAUUGAAAAGAAAUUAGUUAAAAUUUAUCCAUCUUCCACUUCAGCUAUUUCCAUAUAGAAAUAUUAAAUUUUAAAAUCAUUCAAUUCAUAAUUCCAGCGAUUUUUGUUUUGAAUCAAUUCAAGUCUUCAAGAUUCAAAGUAAUGAAGUUUCAAUUUGUGCGUUAGCCGACUUUUGUGUUAAAGAUGAAUUUUUGGUUCAGCGAUUGUUGAUAUUGGUAUUCUUUUGAGCAUUGUACAAUAAGAAUUUAAAGAUUACAGAAUUUACGAAUGUUU
Long non-coding RNA from Xenia sp. Carnegie-2017, 341 nucleotides. RefSeq lists it as uncharacterized. Lineage: Eukaryota; Metazoa; Cnidaria; Anthozoa; Malacalcyonacea; Xeniidae. The transcript has 2 exons. The record is from RefSeq and is a predicted model, not a curated record.